Molecule: long non-coding RNA, 2275 nt
Filed under: Vigna radiata
Lineage: Eukaryota; Viridiplantae; Streptophyta; Magnoliopsida; Fabales; Fabaceae
Description: long non-coding RNA (VRAD_LNC003269)
Source: RNAcentral
GAGAGUGUUUCUCCUUUCACCUCUUUCGUCUCGUCCUGCACCUCUCGCAUUUUUUGUAAUUCUUCCUGUACCCCUAUUCCCUACCCCUGUCAACCUAUUUAUUUUGUUUAAAAAACUUUGAAACUCUGCCGCAACUCACAUCACACCCUACAGCCCUUUUUUCAUUCUAUCUCUUCUCCGUCUUCCUCUCCUCUGGUGGUGUCGGUUGGUGUUGCUGCUGUAUUGUGUAUGAAUUUGUGUAUAUAUAUAUGAAGUGUUUACAUGGGAUGGGAUGGGUGUUGUGUGUCUGCAAAUGGAUCUGCUGGAGCUAAAUGGGAUCCAGGGUGGGUUGUGUAAGAGGGGGUGCCGAAUGUGCCGCAGGACGAACGGCGGAGGGGUAUUGUGAGUGAGAUCUGGAACCGCAACUGGGUUUGCGGUUAAAGCCCACCGUAGGUCGGUAUGCGGUUUGUCGUCGCCGCACAUGGACAUGCGGUUAACCUGUGCCGCAGGACGAACAUCGGAGGGGUAAUUUGUUUUAGGUAGUUUGUUAAUUUUUUAAGUAGAUAUAAUUUUAUAUAUCAUGUAUUAGUAAUGUAAUUUAUAUCAGUUAUUGUUUACGAAAUGAUAUCAGAUAAUUAUUUUUAAAUUUUUUAUAUUAUUUAUUAUGUAGAUAAAUUUAGAUAAUUUUUUUAAAUUUGUCGUAUUUAUUUAAGUAUUAUAAUAAGUAAUCUUUAUGUUCUUAUAUUUCAAAUUUUGUAUGUAUUAUUGUAAAUUAUAAAUUAUUUGCUUUUUUUUAUGUUAAUAUUUUUUAAUAAAUUAAUUUAGUUACUUAAAACUAUACUUUAAUUCAUAAUUUAUAAAUGCAAUAAAAAACUUAUCAAAAGUGUCAACUCGAACCUAACCGCAACAUAAAGUGCGGUUUGCCGCAAGACGAUGUGCGGCGGUAGCAUUAAUCGCAUGACGAAAUGCGGUUGCAGUUUUAUCUUAUCGUAACUCCAAAUGCGGCGAACAUAAUCGCCCCAUGAAAAGCGGUUGCAAAAGGAAUAUUGUUUAAACCGCAAAUCGAAAUUUGGAAAGCAGAGGUUGAGUUUGUUUCAUACUAACCUCGGUGGACGUUCUUCUUCAGCAACAAGCAAGCAAAGUAUCACCACUACUCUUCUUCUUCCUCCCACCAAGAAACAACCAAGAAAACCACUCUACUAUAUAAGAAGAACCAAGGGGUGCAUUUCUUGUCUUUGCAGGGCUGUCGGUAAUUAGGGAUGUAAUCAUUAAUUCUAAUUUGACUUUAAUUAAACUAGGGAAAAAUUUUGGAUCACAACCUGCGGAUCAAUCUAUGUCGUCACGGGUUCGGACUGGGUUGGUGUUGAAAAAAUUAUAUUUUUUUAUUAAAAUAUAAUUUUAUUUUAUUAAAAUUUAAUUUUAAUUUUAUAAAAAAAUAGUUAUUUUUUUUUUACUUGAAAAAAUUAUACAAAUCGGUCGACUUCUCAAUAAGCCGAUCCGUUAUGCAAAUGUUAAGAAUUAACAUUACAAAUUAAACAUAUUAAUAGGUAAAACACAUUUAUGAACUUUUGGGUCUGGUUGAGCUGUGUUUAGGUUAAACUAAUUAAAAACUUAUUCUGAAACCUAUAAAUACAGAAGUAAAGUAAGGAGGUAGGUGAUUUCGUGAAUUUAAGACUUUCUUGUAAUAAUGGAUUGAAACAUAUAACUGACUUAAGCGUCAUAAUGUCUUUGACAUGUACCCAAUGUUAGGAGUUCAAAGAGAAUUACUUUGUAAUGAAGGCUUAGAGUGUGAAUGAGUGUUAAUUAUGAUGCUCGACUCUACAAUAGAAACAACACAAUAAAUCUAAUCACAUAAUUUAAAAAACAUAAAUAUGUCCUCUCCUAUAAAUCUCGAUUUUUUUUUCUCUCCAUCAAAACAAUGUUAGUUAUGUUGGUUUUCAAAAUCCCUUAAAUUUUAUUAAGUGCCAUGUUUUUCAAAUUUGUUAAAAUCUUAAAUUAUUAUGUGUUUUAUUUUUGAACAUUAGGUUAAAACGGAUGUAGUGAUGGAUAGUUCUGCUAUCCGGGCGUGGCAGGAGGACAGUGACAAAAGAUGUUAUAAGCAUUAGAAGAAGAAAAAUGUUCGAACUGAAAUGGAGCGAAAUUGAUGAAAUGUUCAAAAGGAUGAAGCUGUGCAUUGGCAGAUGCAUUGUAUAAUGCAUAACUUUUGCAGUAACAUGAACCAGUUCAUUAAUCUUGUGAAGGAAAAUGGAGCUAAAUUAAUUCAUUACGUUCUUGGUUGCUUAAUCACGAAAAAAUC